GGUCGUUUAGCUCAGCUGGGAGAGCACCUCCCUUACAAGGAGGGGUCACUGGUUCGAGCCCAGUAACGACCACCA
RNAcentral lists this transfer RNA (75 nucleotides) under Aeromonas caviae. RNAcentral's name for it is "tRNA-Val". It matches the Rfam family "tRNA". From Rfam's summary of the family: Transfer RNA (tRNA) molecules are approximately 80 nucleotides in length. Their secondary structure includes four short double-helical elements and three loops (D, anti-codon, and T loops). The record is from RNAcentral. Lineage: Bacteria; Pseudomonadati; Pseudomonadota; Gammaproteobacteria; Aeromonadales; Aeromonadaceae. RNAcentral also lists the same sequence under 2 other names.